GAUGAACGCUGCGGUGUGCUUAACACAUGCAAGUCGAACGGAAAGGCUCCUGCUUGCAGGGGUACUCGAGUGGCGAACGGGUGAGUAACACGUGGGUGAUCUGCCCUGCACUUCGGGAUAAGCCUGGGAAACUGGGUCUAAUACCGGAUAGGACGAUGGUUUGGAUGCCAUUGUGGAAAGUUUUUUCGGUGUGGGAUGAGCUCGCGGCCUAUCAGCUUGUUGGUGGGGUAAUGGCCUACCAAGGCGUCGACGGGUAGCCGGCCUGAGAGGGUGUACGGCCACAUUGGGACUGAGAUACGGCCCAGACUCCUACGGGAGGCAGCAGUGGGGAAUAUUGCACAAUGGGCGCAAGCCUGAUGCAGCGACGCCGCGUGGGGGAUGACGGCCUUCGGGUUGUAAACUCCUUUCGCUAGGGACGAAGCGCAAGUGACGGUACCUGGAGAAGAAGCACCGGCUAACUACGUG
RNAcentral lists this ribosomal RNA (465 nucleotides) under uncultured bacterium. RNAcentral describes it as "partial 16S ribosomal RNA". It matches the Rfam family "Bacterial small subunit ribosomal RNA", at positions 28 to 507 of the family's 1533-position model. The record is from RNAcentral.